Molecule: ribosomal RNA, 419 nt
Filed under: uncultured bacterium
Lineage: Bacteria
Description: bacterial SSU rRNA
Rfam family: Bacterial small subunit ribosomal RNA
Source: RNAcentral
CUCAAAGGAAUUGACGGGGGCCCGCACAAGCGGUGGAGCAUGUGGUUUAAUUCGAUGCAACGCGAAGAACCUUACCUGGGCUUGACAUGUCCGGAAUCCUGCAGAGAUGCGGGAGUGCCCUUCGGGGAAUCGGAACACAGGUGCUGCAUGGCUGUCGUCAGCUCGUGUCGUGAGAUGUUGGGUUAAGUCCCGCAACGAGCGCAACCCUUGUCCUUAGUUGCCAGCGGUUCGGCCGGGCACUCUAGGGAGACUGCCGGUGACAAACCGGAGGAAGGUGGGGAUGACGUCAAGUCCUCAUGGCCUUUAUGUCCAGGGCUACACACGUGCUACAAUGGCGCGUACAGAGGGACGCCAAACCGCGAGGUGGAGCAGACCCCAGAAAGCGCGUCGUAGUUCGGAUUGCAGUCUGCAACUCGACU